AGUCGACGGAAGGCCCCUUCGGGGGUACUCGAGUGGCGAACGGGUGAGUAACACGUGGGUGAUCUGCCCUGCACUUUGGGAUAAGCCUGGGAAACUGGGUCUAAUACCGAAUAGGACCGCAUGCUUCAUGGUGUGUGGUGGAAAGCUUUUGCGGUGUGGGAUGGGCCCGCGGCCUAUCAGCUUGUUGGUGGGGUAAUGGCCUACCAAGGCGACGACGGGUAGCCGGCCUGAGAGGGUGUCCGGCCACACUGGGACUGAGAUACGGCCCAGACUCCUACGGGAGGCAGCAGUGGGGAAUAUUGCACAAUGGGCGCAAGCCUGAUGCAGCGACGCCGCGUGGGGGAUGACGGCCUUCGGGUUGUAAACCUCUUUCAGUAUCGGCGAAGCUCCAAGGUUUUUUUUGGGGUGACGGUAGGUACAGAAGAAGCACCGGCCAACUACGUGCCAGCAGCCGCGGUAAUACGUAGGGUGCGAGCGUUGUCCGGAAUUACUGGGCGUAAAGAGCUCGUAGGUGGUUUGUCACGUUGUCCGUGAAAACUCACAGCUUAACUGUGGGCGUGCGGGCGAUACGGGCAGACUAGAGUACUGUAGGGGAGACUGGAAUUCCUGGUGUAGCGGUGGAAUGCGCAGAUAUCAGGAGGAACACCGGUGGCGAAGGCGGGUCUCUGGGCAGUAACUGACGCUGAGGAGCGAAAGCGUGGGGAGCGAACAGGAUUAGAUACCCUGGUAGUCCACGCCGUAAACGGUGGGUACUAGGUGUGGGUUUCCUUCCUUUAGGGAUCCGUGCCGUAGCUAACGCAUUAAGUACCCCGCCUGGGGAGUACGGCCGCAAGGCUAAAACUCAAAUGGAAUUGAC
This 856-nucleotide ribosomal RNA is filed under the name Mycobacterium minnesotense. RNAcentral's name for it is "Mycolicibacter minnesotensis bacterial SSU rRNA". It matches the Rfam family "Bacterial small subunit ribosomal RNA", at positions 60 to 914 of the family's 1533-position model. The record is from RNAcentral. Lineage: Bacteria; Bacillati; Actinomycetota; Actinomycetes; Mycobacteriales; Mycobacteriaceae.